Cricetulus griseus (Chinese hamster) is the source of this 233-nucleotide unclassified non-coding RNA. Its record names the gene 7SK. It matches the Rfam family "7SK RNA". From Rfam's summary of the family: 7SK was discovered as an abundant small nuclear RNA in the mid-70s but a possible function has only recently been suggested. Two independent studies have found that 7SK RNA binds the CDK9/cyclin T complex (known as elongation factor P-TEFb). The record is from Ensembl. Lineage: Eukaryota; Metazoa; Chordata; Mammalia; Rodentia; Cricetidae.
GGACAAGAGGGCCAUUUGGCUGCAAUAUCUGUCACCCCAGUAGUCACCAGGGUAGAUUUAGGUCAUCUGGCUUGCUAGACAGGUGUCUCUUUUCUCCCUUGUAGCUCCAUCUUUGCCCCUCUCAACACUGAAGGGGGGUUAAAGGAGUCCACAAUUAUCCAGAUAAAGAAUCAAGAGGAAUUUUUAGGGGAGCACCCACACAAUGAUGCUAAAAAACCACCGUGGUCUUCCUG